AUGGUUAAAUUUAUGGAAUAUUUCACCGGAUAUGCACUAUCCUACCCAAUUACACAGGAAAUGAUUACUUCUUUCAGGUUUAAGUUAGCUAGCAUACUAUUAUGUUGGAAAACAAACACUGCAGCAAUGACUACAAUCGUUGAAGAAAGUGAGGAUGACACCAAGGGAGAUCCUGAUGAUGUUCAAAUAUUGGAAAGUUUAGAUAAUUUUAAAAAAACAAAACAAAAAUUACCAUUAUCUGUUGAAAAUAAAUACAGAUCACUAAUAUCAGUUCUUUCUAAUAUGACCUUACAUGAGUUAACAGCUGGACUCUGUAGCUUCAUUAAAUCAAUCAAUUACACCGAGAUUUUAGAGUAA
This 357-nucleotide ribosomal RNA is filed under the name Triticum aestivum (bread wheat). RNAcentral describes it as "partial small subunit ribosomal RNA". The record is from RNAcentral. Lineage: Eukaryota; Viridiplantae; Streptophyta; Magnoliopsida; Poales; Poaceae.